This 394-nucleotide ribosomal RNA is filed under the name uncultured bacterium. RNAcentral's name for it is "bacterial SSU rRNA". It matches the Rfam family "Bacterial small subunit ribosomal RNA", at positions 28 to 408 of the family's 1533-position model. The record is from RNAcentral.
GAUGAGCGCUGGCGGCAUGCCUAAUACAUGCAAGUCGAACGAAAGAACUAUCUGGAGAAUACCCGCGUUAGCGGGAAUUCCCCUCACAGUUCUUUAGUGGCGGACGGGUGAGUAACACGUUGGUACCUGCCCUCUAGUGGGGAAUAACUCGGCGAAAGUCGAGCUAAUACCGCAUGUGAUCUACGGAUCAAAGCCUUCGGGCGCUAGAGGAGGGGCCGUACGUCUGAUUAGCAGUUGGUAAGGUAAUGGCUUACCAAGGCGACGAUCAGUAGCUGGUUCGGAGAGGAUGACCCGCCACACUGGGACUGAGAUACGGCCCAGACUCCUACGGGAGGCAGCAGUAAGGAAUCUUCCACAAUGGGCGAAGCCUGAUGGAGCAAUGCCGCGUGCAGGA